AUUAAAACCCAUGCCACUGUCGAAAUAAAAUUGAUCAUAGUUGUAAUAGCCCAAUUUGCCCGGGGCCCAUUCAGAAUAAGCAGAAAAAAACAAGAAAAAAUAAUUAAAUAUCCACAGUCCAAAUACAUAGGCCCAACAUGGCCCAAAUCGUUUUUAACCUAAACACUAGCCUAGCCCGAUAUCCCUAACCCAAUUAACCUAACACCUAACCCUGGCCCUAAUCAUCUAAGCCCAAAACAAAAUCACAAACAGAAACCUUAGGGCUUCUGGAAACUAAGCCGCCGCAGCAGCCUCACAACGCGCCGCCUUUGGCCUUCCUCUCUACGCGCGCCACGCCACCACCUCCGUACUCUAGUACCUACAGCAAACAACAAGCCAAGGCAGCAAAAAAGGAAGAAGACAAAAUAGCGAAAAAGAAUGAGAUUUUUGUAUUUUUCUCCUUUUAUUAUUCUGUAUUUUUGUUAUAAAACAGAUUGUAAACCGAACGAAAAGAAGGACCCCCACUCUACUAUAUCACAAAAAAAAAAUUAAAUCAAUACAAAAGAAAAGGUUUUCUUUUUCCUUUUUUUCGAUUCGGUUCUAUUUUCUUUCACGAUUGCCUUUCUUUCUUUUUCUGUUUUGCUCUUAACCAUAUACAUAGAAGCAUAUAUAUAGAAUAACAAAGAAAAAAAAGGGUGUUAGAACUCGUACCUGAUUAAGUCCGCCGUCGAAUCCCUCAUUGAUUCUGAUUGGAACCAGGCGGUUGGGGGCUCCGAUGCUGAAGCGGCGUUGGGGGGGUAGAUAUUAUUAGUUUUU
RNAcentral lists this long non-coding RNA (795 nucleotides) under Gossypium barbadense (sea-island cotton). RNAcentral describes it as "long non-coding RNA (GBAR_LNC014409)". Lineage: Eukaryota; Viridiplantae; Streptophyta; Magnoliopsida; Malvales; Malvaceae. The record is from RNAcentral.